Molecule: ribosomal RNA, 245 nt
Filed under: uncultured bacterium
Lineage: Bacteria
Description: partial 16S ribosomal RNA
Rfam family: Bacterial small subunit ribosomal RNA
Source: RNAcentral
CGUGAGCGGCGGACGGGUGAGUAACGCGUGGGUAACCUGCCUCAGUACAGGGGGAUAACAGUUGGAAACGGCUGCUAAUACCGCAUAAGCGCACAGUACCGCAUGGUACGGUGUGAAAAACUCCGGUGGUAUGAGAUGGACCCGCGUCUGAUUAGGUAGUUGGUGGGGUAACGGCCUACCAAGCCGACGAUCAGUAGCCGACCUGAGAGGGUGACCGGCCACAUUGGGACUGAGACACGGCCCAA